RNAcentral lists this ribosomal RNA (406 nucleotides) under uncultured bacterium. RNAcentral describes it as "partial 16S ribosomal RNA". It matches the Rfam family "Bacterial small subunit ribosomal RNA", at positions 30 to 526 of the family's 1533-position model. The record is from RNAcentral.
AUUGAACGCUGGCGGCAGGCUUAACACAUGCAAGUCGAGCUAGCGGCGGACGGGUGAGUAAUGUCUGGGAACCUGCCUGAUGGAGGGGGCUAACUACUGGAAACGGUAGCUAAUACCGCAUACCAUCAGAUGUUCCCAUAUGGGCUUAGCUAGUAGGUGGGGUAAUGGGUCACCUAGGCGCCGAUACCUAGCUGGUCUGAGAGGAUGACCAGCCACACCGGAACUGAGACACGGUCCAUACUCCUACGGGAGGCAGCAGUGGGGAAUAGUGCAAAAUGGGGGAAACCCUGACGCAGCCAUGCCGCGUGAAUGAAGAAGGCCUUCGGGUUGUAAAGUUCUUUCGGUAGCGAAGCGUUAACUAAAGAAGAAGCACCGGCUAACUCCGUGCCAGCAGCCGCGGUAAUAC